Molecule: ribosomal RNA, 316 nt
Filed under: uncultured bacterium
Lineage: Bacteria
Description: bacterial SSU rRNA
Rfam family: Bacterial small subunit ribosomal RNA
Source: RNAcentral
GACGAACGCUGGCGGCGUGCCUAACACAUGCAAGUCUACGAGAAAAGGGUAGCAAUAAUCCUGAGUAAAGUGGCGCACGGGUGAGUAACACGUAGGCAAUCUGCCUUCAGGACGGGAACAACCCCGAGAAAUCGAGGCUAAUACCCGAUAAUGCAGCGACACCGCAUGGUGACAGUUGUUAAAUGCCCGCAAGGGCGCCCGAAGAUGAGCCUGCGCCCCAUUAGGAGUUGGUGAGGUAACGGCCCACCAAGCCUACGAUGGGUAGCUGAUCUGAGAGGAUGAUCAGCCACACUGGAACUGAGACACGGUCCAGACU